Long non-coding RNA from Ipomoea nil (Japanese morning glory), 2814 nucleotides. RefSeq lists it as uncharacterized. The transcript is spliced from 7 exons. Lineage: Eukaryota; Viridiplantae; Streptophyta; Magnoliopsida; Solanales; Convolvulaceae. The record is from RefSeq and is a predicted model, not a curated record.
CCCUAAAUCGAUCUUCAGCCCCAAAUCUAGAUCAGGCGCACAGCCUACCCACUACCGCGACGCACAUCGCACCCACCACCGCGACGCCACAGUCGCCAACGCCGUCUCCACCGACGCAACUUCGUCGUUCCCUCCUCCAGCUCCCCUGCGAUGCCACAGCUACCACCACCGCCCUUCCGAUCUGCAGUGAUUAUUGCAGCCAUGUCUACUGGAGUAAAGCAUUUCCUUUAUAUGGUCUUGACUAUGAUUCAGUCCUGGAAGCAGUUGAAAACAUGGAGAAGAACAUCCCUGGAUUUUUCUAUGCUGAUCUCUCUCUUUACCUCUUUCAAAGCAAGAAACACUGUCAAGACAGUCCCUUUUAGGCCCAAAUGGUCACCAAUGGCAUGGACCUAGUGCUGAGAUAAGUUAACUUUAUUUUUUCAUUACAUCUGGUUCUAAUGCUUAUCAACAUCUGCAUAUUCCAGUAAGGAUGAUGGACGAUUUCUUGAGGUUAACACAAGCUAAAACAGCAAAAAACUUAGAAACAUGUGGUGUUCUUGCUGGUUCACUGAAGAACAGAGUAUUUCAUAUCACUACCCUUAUAAUUUCAAAAGCAAGAAUCAACAUCAGAUUCAGUAAGGCAUUUAUAUUUUAUAAUUUUUUAUUAUAAAUAUGUGCUGCAACCUUGCAUUCUUUCUGCUAUCAAGUGGAUGCGUGCUUAGUUAUUAGUGUUAUACCCAAAAUAAGUUGAUACAGCAAAUGGGUUAGUGUUGCAAUUGGCUUUGGUUUGGAGAUAAUGGAAGCUUAGGUGUGAGGGAUGCAAAUAGCUAUAUGAGAUUGAGAGAAACUGCAUAAGUGAACAAAGAAGAAAAGGGAGGAAUAUAGGGAGAUAUAGCUACAAGUAAGAGAGGAGUGAAGUAGCAUAUUGGCAGAUGUAUUUAGGGAGUGAUAUAGCUACAAGUUGUUGUAUCUGUUUCUACUCGUGUUGGCAGAUGUAUUUAGGGGACUAUUCAGGGAGAACCAUAAGUAUAAGAAUUCUACCUUACCAAGGAUCCCCAUGUGUAUGGGUUUUCAAAAGCUCAAGAUCCAGAAUUCGACUUUCACGAGGUAUAUAGUAAUCAUGUAUACUGGUACUAAUUUUUCAUAUUGGUGAUUUUUUGCUACUAAAUACAAAAUACAUAAAUUCCAUUCAUGUCGAUUAUUUGCUUCAGCGAAUUAGAAUUGCAUUGUCAGACGUAGCCUAUGUUCCUUGAACUUGCUUAAGUUUUUAGAUGGGUGAUGUACUUCCUAUUAUCCUCUGAAUUGUGUUUGUAGUCAAGCUCGGCAAUGAUUGUUUUUGUUUGCAUUUAAUUUUAGUUUCUUGCUGCUGAGAAUCUGAUUGGCUCGCGCAAUUACUCUUCUAAUGCGGAAGCUUUGAGCUUAGCUUUAAUUUGUAAUAUGUUUGUAACCAGACUGCUAUGAACUGAUGUGAUGGUGUAUCUUUUGGGAAAUUUAGUUUUUGAACCAUAAAUUCAUGGGUGGUCUGUAGGGCCCAGAUCUGAUAAGCAUAAAACCUGCAUCUCCUAGGGGAACAUAUCAGUGAGGUUAAACAACUGAGAUAUGUUCUGCCUAGGAAUUUGUGGAGAAACUGGAGUGGCAAGAGCCACUUGGGUAAUUCUUUGGGAGCUUAAAAGGAAAAUUGCAGAAGUGAAGCUUAUGAAGGCUGAUCUGUAAGGUCCUAAAUGGCAUAAGGCACCCCAAUGAUGGGCUGCUUGGCCUGGCAGUCUUGAGGGGUGAGCAAGCAGGCUGGGGGGAACAAGCCUGUGAGGCCUAUAGGGCUGAGGCUUGUUCUGCCUUUAGUCAGGGAUAUUAUGGAUGGUUGAGGAGAGGCCUAUGAGGCAGAUUUGCUGAGGCUUCCCUCUGUGGUCCCCCAAUGAUGGAUGUGCAAUCCUAAGGGGUGAACUAGGAUACUUUGAUGUCUUAUGGGAGGCUGGAUCUAUGAGGCUUAUAGCUGAGAUCCAUUCUCCCCUUGGCCCGAUGAUGGACUGCUAGCUGGACAGUUUCUGAGGGCUACAGCAUGUUGAGGGGACUGACAGUGGAAACACUGGGCAGCUUUUGUUUGGUGGAUCUACAGUUGUGUAGAGAUGAAGCCAUUUUUGCAGGUAGGCUUGGGCAGGAGUGAAGAUGAAGACCUAGCUAUAUGUGCUAUGUUUGUAGGCUAGGGGGCUCCUUUUAAAGGAGCUCCUUAGUGGGCUUAGCCUUGAUGUCCCGUUUUGGCUUGUGCUAAGAAUGGGGGGUCUGGGUGGGCUCCAAGUAUAGCAUACACCUGGAGUUGGGACAGUGUUGGUCAUGCUACAAUCAGGAAGGUUAAGAAUGAAUUGAUAGAUAGAUAUUGCAUGUCUCAACUUACAAUAUAACGAAUAAUGUUUUGGAGUGAGUUUACUUGCUAAUGUAUCACAACUGUAGAAUCAUUUUUAAAGUUGGGGAUUUUUUUAAAAUGUUUUUAUGUAUGGUUUGCUGAAUUGUUUAUGGGUUUUUCUUCUGUGGAUUUUGAGAAUGCUGAGGCUGAUGAUUUGGGUCUUGCUAAUUGGUUUGAUCAGUUCAAAAGAAAUCCAGAUUUCAAGUGAUGAAGCCAUAGAAACUACAAAGUUGCUUGCCGGGAAAGAAGGGUUACAUAUUGCAGAUCGCAGAUUCGCAGAGCUCAUCAGUCGUCGUCGCUCUGCUUCCCCCGUCUCCCGCCUCCGUUCGUCGAAUCGUCGCUUCUCAGGCUCUCUACCGGCUCACCGCCUUACCGCUCAGCAGGACAGAAGCCAUGAACACCGCCUCAACGCCUCUACCCUAUCGUCUUCUGACUUA